AACGCACGAGACCUGCGGACCUGCGGAGGGAUCAUUACCGAGUUAUCCAACUCCCAACCCCUGUGAAUUAUACCUUUAAUUGUUGCUUCGGCGGGACCUCGCGCCCGCCGGGGACCCAAACCUUCUGAAUUUUUUAAUAAGUAUCUUCUGAGUGGUUAAAAAAAUGAAUCAAAACUUUUAACAAUGGAUCUCU
RNAcentral lists this unclassified non-coding RNA (193 nucleotides) under soil metagenome. RNAcentral describes it as "partial contains 5.8S ribosomal RNA, internal transcribed spacer 2, and large subunit ribosomal RNA". The record is from RNAcentral.